GGAAGUAAAAAUCGUAACAAGGUCUCCGUUGGUGAACGCAGCGGAUGGUGAUUCAUUACCGAGUUUACAACGUCCCAAACCCAUAUGUGAACGUUACUAAACUGUUGCCUCGGUCGGGAUCUCUGCCCCAGGCGUGCGUCGCAGCCCCGGACCAAGGCGCCCGCCGGAGGACCAACCAAAACUCUUUUUGUAUACCCCCUCGCGGGUUUUUUUUAUAAUCUGAGCCUUCUCGGCGCCUCUCGUAGGCGUUUCGAAAAUGAAUCAAAACUUUCAACAACGGAUCUCUUGGUUCUGGCAUCGAUGAAGAACGCAGCGAAAUGCGAUAAGUAAUGUGAAUUGCAGAAUUCAGUGAAUCAUCGAAUCUUUGAACGCACAUUGCGCCCGCCAGUAUUCUGGCGGGCAUGCCUGUCCGAGCGUCAUUUCAACCCUCGAACCCCUCCGGGGGGUCGGCGUUGGGGAUCGGCCCUCCCUUAGCGGGUGGCCGUCUCCUAAAUACAGUGGCGGUCUCGCCGCAGCCUCUCCUGCGCAGUAGUUUGCACACUCGCAUCGGGAGCGCGGCGCGUCCACAGCCGUUAAACACCCAACUUCUGAAAUGUUGACCUCGGAUCAGGUAGGAAUACCCAGCUGAACUUAAGCAUAUCAAUAAGCGGAGGAAG
RNAcentral lists this ribosomal RNA (656 nucleotides) under Trichoderma harzianum. RNAcentral's name for it is "eukaryotic LSU rRNA". The stretch from base 266 to 419 matches the Rfam family "5.8S ribosomal RNA". Lineage: Eukaryota; Fungi; Ascomycota; Sordariomycetes; Hypocreales; Hypocreaceae. The record is from RNAcentral.